ACGAUACCGCCUUUGGCUUCGGCCAGGGGUAAGGGUGAAACGAGCGGGGUAAGAGCCCGCAGUUCCCAACGGUGACGUUGGGAAGAGGUAAACCCUGCCUGCCGCAAGGAGAUGGAUACUUUAAGGCCUAAAGCCUAAAGCGUCCCGCUAAGGACCCAUCACAAAAACCGCUCGAGUCUGCGAGCAAUCGUAGACCUAGAUAGAUGACCAGUCAGGGCCUCGGCCCGUGACAAAACCCGGCUUACAGAUAGUCUGACCUU
RNAcentral lists this RNase P RNA (260 nucleotides) under Candidatus Saccharibacteria bacterium CG_4_10_14_0_2_um_filter_52_9. RNAcentral describes it as "partial RNase P RNA component class A". It matches the Rfam family "Bacterial RNase P class A", at positions 120 to 367 of the family's 367-position model. From Rfam's summary of the family: Ribonuclease P (RNase P) is a ubiquitous endoribonuclease, found in archaea, bacteria and eukarya as well as chloroplasts and mitochondria. Its best characterised activity is the generation of mature 5'-ends of tRNAs by cleaving the 5'-leader elements of precursor-tRNAs. The record is from RNAcentral. Lineage: Bacteria; Candidatus Saccharimonadota.